Molecule: long non-coding RNA, 551 nt
Organism: Sus scrofa (pig)
Lineage: Eukaryota; Metazoa; Chordata; Mammalia; Artiodactyla; Suidae
Source: RefSeq, a predicted model, not a curated record
CUUCACUUUGUCUUCGCCAUCACCUCGAAAGGCAGACGCCACUCAUCUUAAUGGACAGAUUAGAAAACUCUAUUAAAAAGACAACGGACACCCAAGCCCAGAGCAAGGAGGUCUCAUCCGUUGUUGCUGAGAACUACCUGCCUGGUAAUCUCCCUGUCAAUCAGAUACCAGCCUUAUCUGCUGCUUGAAGGGCCCUCAUGUCAUCCAGGAGGAGGCAUUUCUUGCCCCACCUACUGCAGGACGCGAAGGCACCUGACCCUCCUCCACAGAAGGCCGGACGCAUCCUUCCAGGCUCCGGGAUGCCCCCCACCUCCGGGCCCAAGAAAAAGUGCCUACAUGUUUUCAACCUUUUCCUUAAACGUGAAACCACUGGACAAAAGGCAGUCAGAAAUUAAUUAUGAACCUUAGAAUAGAUUUUCCCCUAAAAAUAACGUGAGUUCUAAAGCUCUUCUUAAAAUGCCCCUAAAAGUAACGAAUUCCUGAUAUAUGGAAAAUAGGUGAAACCAUAACACUCAGCCUACAUCUUCACUUCAUAAUAAAAGGUCUCUACC